AUCCGGUUUUGUGGUUCAAGGAUGAUUUUGUACCUCCAUGACAAGUUGAGGGACCUUCGGUGUACUUUUUCCAUUACAGUUUGGGUUGAACAUGUUGGGCCUUGCCGCUUACGGCCCAAUUUUAUGUGUCCAAUCAUAACCCGAUUUCGUUGUCAAUCUGUGCCUUCACGGCUUCUCAGACUUCUCUCCUCUAUCGCUAGCCACAGAUCCGCUCCUGGCUCCUGCAAGGCUGCAACCUGCAACCCCAACACCCCUUCGAGAAUCGUCGUGCGCGCAGCAAACCUGUACAUGGGUAAACAAGCAUAACUGAAUUACAGGCAAGCCGGUAGCUUGGAAAGAACCCUCUUACUCCCAGUAAAAACAAUAGGAGGCCCACUACUGCUAUUUUCUUUAUUGUGCUUCUGAAUGCAAAGUAGCACAAGUAGGGAUAUUAGUUCCUCACACCAUGUAGCAGAAGGAAGAUGGAUGCUAACAGACGCCAAGGUGGAAUUCAGCAAUUAUUGGCUGCAGAGCAAGAAGCUCAACAGAUUGUUAAUGCUGCUAGGAGCGGCAAAAGAGGAGGCUGAGAGAGAAAUAGCUGAGUACCGUGCUCAGAUGGAAGCUGAGUUCCAGAGGAAGGUUGCGGAGAGUAGCGGUGAUUCUGGUGCAAACGUAAAACGGCUUGAGCAAGAAACUGACACGAAAAUUGCGCAACUGAAGGAGCAGGCUGCAAAUGUCUCCCCUGAAGUGAUCCAGAUGCUUCUUAGGCAUGUAACCACCGUGAAGAACUGAUAAAAGUUGGACGUCCUGCCGACAAAUUAAGCAGAGAUUGGGCUCAAAUUGUGUGCUACCUUUUUGUUAAUUCCAAGAUGGAUUACAAAUUUACGGAUGUCAGCUAUAGCCACGAACCCUGUUCUUAGUCAUACAAUACCAAUAAGCCGCAGCAGAUUUAUUGGUGAACACGAGGGAUGAUUAUACAAUAAGCAUUCUUGUUGAUGUGAUUUGGCGAGCCUUUGUUGAGCUGCUGGAGAGAAAGUGAAUGAUCCUGUGUGAAACUGACA
Molecule: non-coding RNA, 1040 nt
Organism: Oryza sativa Japonica Group (Japanese rice)
Lineage: Eukaryota; Viridiplantae; Streptophyta; Magnoliopsida; Poales; Poaceae
Source: RefSeq, a predicted model, not a curated record